Molecule: microRNA precursor, 94 nt
Filed under: Tetraodon nigroviridis (spotted green pufferfish)
Lineage: Eukaryota; Metazoa; Chordata; Actinopteri; Tetraodontiformes; Tetraodontidae
Source: RNAcentral
CUGGCUCGGUGAGGCGGGGCAGCUGGUGUUGUGAAUCAGGCCGCCGCAGUCCAAGGACCGGCUACUUCCCAACACCAGGGUCCCACAUCACCCC